RNAcentral lists this ribosomal RNA (468 nucleotides) under uncultured bacterium. Its description in RNAcentral is "partial 16S ribosomal RNA". It matches the Rfam family "Bacterial small subunit ribosomal RNA", at positions 28 to 507 of the family's 1533-position model. The record is from RNAcentral.
GACGAACGCUGGCGGCGUGCUUAACACAUGCAAGUCGAACGGAAAGGCCCUGCUUUUGUGGGGUGCUCGAGUGGCGAACGGGUGAGUAACACGUGAGUAACCUGCCCUUGACUUUGGGAUAACUUCAGGAAACUGGGGCUAAUACCGGAUAGGAGCUCCUGCUGCAUGGUGGGGGUUGGAAAGUUUCUGCGGUCGGGGAUGGACUCGCGGCUUAUCAGCUUGUUGGUGGGGUAGUGGCUUACCAAGGCUUUGACGGGUAGCCGGCCUGAGAGGGUGACCGGCCAAAAUGGGACUGAGAUACGGCCCAGACUCCAACGGGAGGCAGCAGUGGGGAAUAUUGCACAAUGGGAGGAAGCCUGAUGCAGCAACGCCGCGUGCGGGAUGACGGCCUUCGGGUUGUAAACCGAUUUAGCAUGUGACGAAGCGUGAGUGGCGGUAAUGGGUAAAGAAGCACCGGCUAACUACGUG